This 175-nucleotide ribosomal RNA is filed under the name uncultured bacterium. Its description in RNAcentral is "partial 16S ribosomal RNA". It matches the Rfam family "Bacterial small subunit ribosomal RNA", at positions 567 to 742 of the family's 1533-position model. The record is from RNAcentral.
CGUACGUAGGCGGAUUAUNNGUUAGAGGUGAAUCCCAGGGCUCAACCCUGGAACUGCCUUUAAAACUGUUAGUCUUGAGAUCGAGAGAGGUGAGUGGAAUUCCAAGUGUAGAGGUGAAAUUCGUAGAUAUUUGGAGGAACACCAGUGGCGAAGGCGGCUCACUGGCUCGAUACUG